Molecule: ribosomal RNA, 240 nt
Filed under: uncultured Derxia sp.
Lineage: Bacteria; Pseudomonadati; Pseudomonadota; Betaproteobacteria; Burkholderiales; Alcaligenaceae
Description: partial 16S ribosomal RNA
Rfam family: Bacterial small subunit ribosomal RNA
Source: RNAcentral
CGAGACUGCCGGUGGAUAAACCGGAGGAAGGUGGGGAGUGACGUCAAGUCCUCAUGGCCCUUAUGCGUAGGGCUUCACACGUCAUACAAUGGUCGGUACAGAGGGUUGCCAACCCGCAGGGGGAGCCAAUCCCACAAAGCCGAUCGUAGUCCGGAUUGCAGUCUGCAACUCGACUGCAUGAAGUCGGAAUCGCUAGUAAUCGCGGAUCAGCAUGUCGCGGUGAAUACGUUCCCGGGUCUU